UGCGAAGACGGAUGAUGCGUCAGAAUGUAUAUAUAUAUAUUGAACAUAAUAUAGCUUUGUAUGAUAUUCUUUUACUUGCUAGCAACUUACAAAAACGCAAAAGAAAUGUAGCAAAGAUGGCCACAUAAAUGUGAAGUAUAUAACGGGUCAUCGAGGGCUGGUCGAGAAUUCACAUCAGCAAGCCGGCUACAACUACAGCACGAGCAGGGGAUGAAAGUAAACGUUUUGUCUGGGAAGGUGCACAGAUAUCAGCGAAUGAGUAUUUAGUAAUUUACUACGAGCCGUUGUGCCGCAGCUGCCUCUGCUCAUGUCUUCACCUACCAUCACGCCAAACAGGACCAAGCCAUUCUGUCUCUGUGGCUGGGGGAUGGGCAGAGCAGGCUGCCCGGGUUUGCUACUCAUCACAUUGGAGUGGCAGGUAGUAUAGUCAUUGUGUAACCUGACCUAUAUCACAGGUUUAUACUGCUCAGGAUCAGGUCUGCUUCAGGUAUCGUAAAGCCUUUACACACACACACGCUUGUGCAGAAAUAUUCAUGGGGCAAAUAUCAGUUAUUUCAAAUGUAGUUUGUGUUUGACAUGCAAACAAAUAGACUUGGGCUGUGUGAGAGUGGAAAACAAUGUUCAGGGCAGGGAACAGCACGUUGGAUGGCAGUUUUUUAUAUUUUUAUAUAAACACCAACACAAUCAUCCACCAGGUGGCGUGCUGUUUCCUUUAUACCUCCCCCAAAGUGGAUGCAAGCAUGUCAGAACAUGUCUGUGGAAAGAGGACAGCCAAAACCUGGUCCACAUGGUCUGAUGGCAUGUUGCCAACAGUAACUUGCGGGACCCCACCAUCGUGACUUUACUCCUUUAGUACACGCUCUCUCCCUCUUUGUGUGAUUGUGUGGUUGGAGACCGGUGUGCUGCAGUCAGAGCAAAUCCCUUCCAGCUGCAACUCGUUCCAUAAUCAAGACCUCUACAAAUACUUAGUCCUGCCACUUCCACUCUGCCAGAUUGUAAUCUCUGUUACUGCUUUGUCUCUUGCUCCUGUCUCCUGUUCCACAUCUCACCACCCAACUACCUUGUUCUCGAUUUUACUCACCAUCAAAACAUUGGAUUCCCCUCAGGAUCUGUUUACCAAGUUCUACUCAGCCAACUCCAACCUCUGUCUCCACAUCUGGUUUUUCUGCAACUCAUCCUAGCUUCCCCGGAUCUGCACUCCAUAUCUCUCUGUGUAACAAUAAAUAUUUUGGUUCAUUCA
Molecule: long non-coding RNA, 1240 nt
Organism: Oncorhynchus keta (chum salmon)
Lineage: Eukaryota; Metazoa; Chordata; Actinopteri; Salmoniformes; Salmonidae
Exons: 5
Source: RefSeq, a predicted model, not a curated record